UGUUUGACCCCUUCGCAGAAUCUCGCCUUGAGUAUAACCCUCGAUAUAUGGAGGGCCUGGUGGAUCUAAAAUAUAAGCAAUAACAAAGGAGAACGGAAAGCUGAACGGUCGACCGCAACGGCAUAUCUGGAGGCAACGCCUUAUGCUUCGCUUGACAGUGUAGCGUUUUGAGGAAGUCUCUUCAAUUUUAUCAACGCGACCUAAAAAUAUGGAAUGGAACAGAUCUUAGAAAUCUUUCACUAAUCAGCGCUGUCACGCAAUCCAACGCAACAAAGAUAUAACAGCUACACUGUUGUCCAAAUGCUGAGAUGGCGAGCAAGGCAAUUAAAAUG
Bactrocera tryoni is the source of this 332-nucleotide long non-coding RNA. RefSeq lists it as uncharacterized. The transcript is spliced from 4 exons. NCBI's taxonomy places the organism in Eukaryota, Metazoa, Arthropoda, Insecta, Diptera, Tephritidae. The record is from RefSeq and is a predicted model, not a curated record.